CAGUUGCCUAGUGAUUGCAACACGAAAAGCGGAACCGUGACCGCCUGACAGCUGUUUUUAUAUAAAUCACGG
This 72-nucleotide non-coding RNA is filed under the name unclassified sequences. The record is from Rfam.